This 468-nucleotide ribosomal RNA is filed under the name uncultured bacterium. Its description in RNAcentral is "partial 16S ribosomal RNA". It matches the Rfam family "Bacterial small subunit ribosomal RNA", at positions 28 to 507 of the family's 1533-position model. The record is from RNAcentral.
GACGAACGCUGGCGGCGUGCUUAACACAUGCAAGUCGAACGGAAAGGCCCUGCUUUUGUGGGGUGCUCGAGUGGCGAACGGGUGAGUAACACGUGAGUAACCUGCCCUUGACUUUGGGAUAACUUCAGGAAACUGGGGCUAAUACCGGAUAGGAGCUCCUGCUGCAUGGUGGGGGUUGGAAAGUUUCGGCGGUUGGGGAUGGACUCGCGGCUUAUCAGCUUGUUGGUGGGGUAGUGGCUUACCAAGGCUUUGACGGGUAGCCGGCCUGAGAGGGUGACCGGCCACAUGGGGACUGAGAUACGGCCCAGACUCCUACGGGAGGCAGCAGUGGGGAAUAUUGCACAAUGGGCGGAAGCCGGAUGCAGCAACGCCGCGUGCGGGAUGACGGCCUUGGGGUUGUAAACCGCUUUCGCCUGGGACGAAGCGUGAGUGACGGUAAUGGGUAAAGAAGCACGGGCUAACUACGUG